AGGGACAAAAGGGUGAACAGGGCAGACCAGGACUGGCUGGAAGGCAAGGAGCUAAGGGGAUGAAAGGAAACCCUGGUCCACCUGGAGCUUGUGGUCGAACGGAGUAUUAUGAUUAUGUGGUUGGUGAAAAAGGAGAUGAAGGACCCCCUGGACCUCCUGGGCCAAAAGGUCAACGUGGCAUUCCCGGGCCACAGGGUCCUCCUGGAGAUGCUGGUAGACCAGGUGUGUCAAGACCUGGUCUGAGAGGUCCUCCAGGAUUUCCUGGGCCAAAAGGAACAAAAGGAGAGAAAGGACAAACUGGCUUGUGCAUUGUAGGCCCUCCAGGACCACCUGGUAUUAGUGGCAGACCUGGUUCAAUUGGAUUACCAGGUCCUCCAGGAGAACCAGGUGGAGUAACAUUCAGAAGAGGCCUGCCAGGAUUUCCUGGAGAACCAGGAUGUGUAGGACCUCCAGGACCUCCAGGAGAUACUGGCAUGAAAG
This 480-nucleotide long non-coding RNA is filed under the name Lepidothrix coronata (blue-crowned manakin). RNAcentral describes it as "lncRNA (ENSLCOG00000003375.1)". The record is from RNAcentral. Lineage: Eukaryota; Metazoa; Chordata; Aves; Passeriformes; Pipridae.